This is a long non-coding RNA of Mustela erminea (ermine), 1641 nucleotides long. RefSeq lists it as uncharacterized. The record is from RefSeq and is a predicted model, not a curated record. NCBI's taxonomy places the organism in Eukaryota, Metazoa, Chordata, Mammalia, Carnivora, Mustelidae. The transcript is spliced from 5 exons.
CUUACAGCGGAGAGACGUCAGUGUUCUUGAUUCUCACUUGGCAAGUCUCAGUUCCUUGAUGGCUCUUGGCUAAAGACUUCAGUUCUUCACCGAGUGAACAUAGGCUGCCUGAGUAUCCCCACAAUGUGACAGCUGGCUUCCACCAGAAGCAGUGAUCUAAGAAAGAAAUGCCAAGACAACAUUUCUUCUAGGUGGAAGUGGUUGGAGAAGCUGGAGGUAGACUGUAUAUAGAAGCACAUGUGCUAUUUUGCCUGCAGUGCACACUGACUUGGUGGAAAUUCCUGUUUCAAGUUUUUCAAGGAAUGUAGUCCACAAAUACUUAAAGGCACUUAUUCAGAUAUUUGACAUAGGAUGGCAUGAAGGUACAAAUAUGCUGCUGCAGCUUUAAAGCAAUUUGCCCUUUUCCUCAAAAGCUAGAUAUUUAUCCACUAUGGAAUGAAAUUGAAGGGUGUUUUUCUUAACAUCAUUUUGUCAGAUUCAUCUGAUAAAUGUGAACGUUUAUAUAGAAGACAUAAAAGUUGGUGAAAAACUUUUUGUUUAUAUGCCUUAAUGAAAAGAUGUACAAAAUAAGUGUAUCAGAAACAAAACUAAAACCUUAAUGGGAUGGAUCUGUUACAGGAGUAAACAUGGUGUCUGCUGAAUGGUACGGAAAAAGUUGUAAACACACACAGUCUGGUGCCUUGUGAUGACUGUAAAGUUACACAGUCAGGACAAUAGUAGAUUUGUCCAGAACUUUACUCUUUUGCAAACCUCAACAUUACUGAAAUGAGGGAGGGGGCCUAAAUUCUCAAAAGGAUGUCUUUGGACUGUCUGCAAACCCUAAUAUGAAGAAUUAUAUAUUACAUGGUCUCCAAACAUUUUUUUAGCUCCAGUGAGUAAUUCAGUCUGGAGCUAACAUUCCUUUGAAAGAACCCUCAGUUUUUUAUUUUGAUCUAGAAUUAUGUUUGGCUAGUAGUUAAAUUGGUUUAAAAGUUGACUUGACUAUUUUGUGAACUAAUAUAAGUUUUUCUUUUUAGAUACAGGUAGUCUUUACUUUGCACCGUUCCAGUAUGCAUGAAGAUCAGUUUUUACAGCUGGUUCCAUUGCUUCUAGAGUCGGCAUGAAUUGAUUAACCUUCCGCUGUCUGGCAAAGCUGCAAGCUCAGAUAAGGUUACUACUGUGAAAUUUGCACCAUUAUUCCAAGAGUCACAGGCAGUCCUUGCUUUGCCCAGUGUAAGACUAUACUGUGUGAAAACUUCACAGGGUUUGGCUAUAAUGUAAAGGGAGUUCCUAGAAGAUACCGCUGACCGUGAGAAUGUGGACACUCAUACCAUUCAAGCCGUUCUAGAGACACAACCAGAAGAAUUUAGUGAAGGUGAACAUCGUAAUAAAGAAGAAAAGCAUUUGUGUGUUGUAAAGGAAGAAUAUGUUUCAGAGCAAGUGAUGUGGGUGAAAAAACCACAUUAAAGGAGUUCUCAGAUAUUUCAUGACAUUGAAUCCGUAAGGGAUUAAAUAUUAGAAGCCGAUCCAAACUCAAAAGAGUAUGACAGUUUGCCAAAGUGUAGAGAAGAUGCUUGCUCCAUAUUGCAAAUUACAUGAGAAAGCAAGCACUGUUCAAACUUCUGAGACUUUCCUAUAAAUAAAAUGCUGUAAUUUUCAGUG